GUAGGGAAUAACUGCGGGAAACUGCAGCUAAUACCCUAUGCUCCCUACGGGGAAAAGAUUUAUCGCCAUUGGAGGGGCCCGCGUCGGAUUAGCUAGUUGGCGGGGUAAUGGCCCACCAAGGCUACGAUCCGUAGCUGGUCUGAGAGGAUGAUCAGCCACACUGGGACUGAGAUACGGCCCAGACUCCUACGGGAGGCAGCAGUGGGGAAUAUUGGACAAUGGGGGAAACCCUGAUCCAGCAAUGCCGCGUGAGUGAAGAAGGCCUUAGGGUUGUAAAGCUCUUUCGGCGGGGACGAUGGUGACGGUACCCGCAGAAGAAGCCCCGGCUAACUUCGUGCCAGCAGCCGCGGUAAUACGAAGGGGGCUAGCGUUGUUCGGAAUCACUGGGCGUAAAGGGCGCGUAGGCGGCGCGACAAGUCAGGCGUGAAAGCCCCGGGCUCAACCCGGGAAUUGCGCUUGAUACUGUCGUGCUUGAGGCCGGGAGAGGAUGGCGGAAUUCCCAGUGUAGAGGUGAAAUUCGUAGAUAUUGGGAAGAACACCGGUGGCGAAGGCGGCCAUCUGGACCGGUUCUGACGCUGAGGCGCGAAAGCGUGGGGAGCAAACAGGAUUAGAUACCCUGGUAGUCCACGCCCUAAACGAUGUCAACUGG
Molecule: ribosomal RNA, 649 nt
Filed under: uncultured bacterium
Lineage: Bacteria
Description: bacterial SSU rRNA
Rfam family: Bacterial small subunit ribosomal RNA
Source: RNAcentral